RNAcentral lists this small RNA (7331 nucleotides) under Caenorhabditis elegans. Its description in RNAcentral is "Unclassified non-coding RNA T02H6.14". The record is from RNAcentral. Lineage: Eukaryota; Metazoa; Nematoda; Chromadorea; Rhabditida; Rhabditidae.
GUCACCAAUGACGCCAUUUCCAACAAGCUUGUUGUUAAGCCGGAGCUCCCAUUUGGCCACUGGAGAGAGAUUCAAUGGUGCCCGAAUGGAACUGUUAUCAUCGGAAUACAAACCAAAUCUGACCGUGGUAGAAUUGACAAAGCUGGUAUCACCAACUUUGCUGCCAAGUGCGGACGUCCGGAAGUCAGAACUGGAACUGAGACCUGGGCUUGGGGUAUGUACCAUAAGGGCACAAAAUAUAUUUCGAGUUAAAAAAAAUAAAAUUUCCAGAGAAUCUCGAUACUUUUGGCGGUUGGGACAAGGAAAUCAAUUGUCCGGUUGGAGAGGCAAUGUAUAGAUUUAGAGCGAAUAUUGCCAGAGGUCGAGGGCUUUUUAAAUUUACUCACUUCAGCUGCAAUAAGGUUGAAUGACUGUUAAAUCAAAAAAAAACAAUUUCAAAUAAAGAUGUUUCUUCUGGGCAUUUUCAUGUUGUGAUUGUACAAAAUUAAACUAAUAUCUGAUAAUUUUAUAGACUGAUUCCAAAAAUCGAUUUAAAAGAAGUGUGGGCAUUGUUGCUCCUCACAGCUGGAUCUGCUACGUUUCCAAGUUAGUUUUAACAGUUUGAAUGGUAGAGUGAAGUUUUUGAGGAUUCUACCUGAAUAGAUUAAAAUCGGUUUUAAAUGAUCAAACCUUAUAGUGAGACUCAACGAAAAAUAAUAGCAUUUUUGGAUCAGAAUUCGAGAAGAUGCUAGGUAUGAUCAGUGUAAGGCAGAAGUGCGCGGCAAUUGCCAUUCGGCAACAACUGCCGAAAUUCCCGACAACUGCCGAAAUUCCAAAGGUGCUUUUUUGCAUCUGGGUUUCGUGCGCAUUGGCGUUUAUGGCCCCAUCGUUUCUGGGCAUGAUACUCUACGUCAGUCCCCUGGUCUCUCGUAAGUUGAUAUAUUUUUCGUAGAAAAUAUAUCAAAAUUCCUUCUUCAGCACAGCUCACCUUUUCAUCACAAUUUGCAGUUUUACGCGCUGGAUAUUUAAAGAAAUCACUUCAGAAAAUUACGUAAGUUAAUUUUCGUUUGUAACAGUUUUAGGAAUUUUAUAUAUUCAUGGAAUAUGGACCGAGAUUACUCAACUCUUUGUUUUUUACAUUUCAGGAUUAUUACACAACCAACGGCCAAUACACGAACCACUACACCUCCCAGCUCCACAAUAAUUACCAACAAGGAUAUUCCAUAACAUUUUGAAUUGAUUAUUUUGUGGGAUAUAAAUAUAGAUUUGUGAAUAAAAUUUGAUUUUGAUUGAAAAUUGUGCGCUUUUUAAGCUUUUCGACAUAUCUUCCUUCAAUCAACGGCCACAUCAACAUCAUGUCAAAAAACUGACGAUUUUUUUUUUGAAAAAAGUAUUCUACAGUCAAUGCCAUUUCAAAAAGUAAUAGUAAACUUUUUAAACUGGUCGCUGUUGCUGAAGACAUCAUUAGAAAGAAAAACACCCACACACUAGCGACAAUUUAACUUCGGAAGGUUUGUAACGUGUCACAUAAUGAUAUUUUCAAAGUUUAAUAACAUAUUUCGUUCCUAAGAAUAUGGGGAGUAAAACCUAUAGUGCUAAUUUUUUUUGAAUGAUUGCUUCAAAUUUUAUAGACGCGAGAAUCGGUCCCCAUAAUUGUGAACCACCCUGUAUAUAGUAAAUGAUAUCAUAUCAACGCCUUUGUUCUAGAUGUAGACUCCUUCUUCUUCAACUUAUCUUCCCAGGGGAGACCCUUUAAUAUCAUUAUAAAUAUUCACCUCUGGUAUUUUUUUUACUCAGGAUUUAUCUCAAAAAUCUAGUUUAAACCAAUGUUUUCCGGAAUGUUACUCAAAAAUCAGUGAAAAUUAGAAAAUGUCCUCAUUUUAGAUAGCCCUCAUUUACUUUGAAUUCAAAAAUGGCAUUGAAAAAUUAAAAUUUUAAAUAUAAAAGUCUUAAUUUUUGAGAUUUUCGGGCAAAAUCUUGGAUUUUAACUUUUCCAUCAAGAUCUCGAAAUUUAGAAUGCGAAAUUCGAAUUCAGCGGCCAAAUUUACCUCGUCUCCCAGUUUUCUGGACUCCCUACUAGUUGGGUUGGCCAAUUCAAAUGUUAUAAAAAUUUGGGUUGUAAACAAAACUACACAGAAGGUAUUUUGCAGGUUUUCACGGCCACCCAGUACAAUAAAUUUACGAUUAGAUAUUUUGCAUAUCGACUUACUCUUUGUUCGCACUGUGCGACUACAACUACCUGGCAUUUUUGAUUAUCGAUUUGUUUCUGUUUGCAUCUACUACUAACGCUACGAUCAUUUACUUUCUAUUCAUUAUAUCUACCAAUUGCACCUAUCAAUUUUCGAUGGCAAUUUCUAAGUUGUUCUUUGCCUACUUUCAUAAAAAUGUAAGCAGUUUUUUAUUUCAUGAAUACACAAGGUAAUAGUCUUGUUUCAGGAAAAACCAUUUAAAAUGCUUUGUUUGCCGUUGCUUCCAUUAAAAAACGUCAUCAAUCAAAUGAGUUUCGAAUCAGUGUGAGUUUGAAUCAAACUUUACUUGUUAGGUCUGCAAAUAAGUUUUGGGCUUUUUGAGUUAGAAAGAGAAUUUUUUUAGGAAGAGAAUUUUUUUUUAGAAAGAGAAAGUUAUUUUUAGUGAGUAUAAACGUUUUGCAAUUUAGAAUUUCCGCAUUUUCUUAAAGGUGGGGUAGCGAAAUUUAUUACAUUGCUUAAAUAGACUUCAGAGUGUCUCAAAACAUCGAAUUUCCUAACAAGAUUUCUUGAAAAACGUUCAAAAUGUUUUUAUGGUGGUUAAAAUUAAGCUAUUUAAAUUAAGCUAAAAAUUUAAAAUGCGACAAAUUGGUCAGUGUCGUAGCGGCUGAAAAGUACGUUUUUGUAAUUAUGCACAUAAAUACUUAAAUGAUAAAGCAGUUAGUAAGAAAUAUGAGUAAUAGAAGUAAUAAAAAAUAGAAGAAAAUAGAAGAAAUAUAAGUAAGAAGUAAGAAUUAAGUAAGAAGUAAGAAAGAAGUUAGUUAGAAGUAAGAGUUAGUAGCAAAUAGAGGAUUUCACGAAAUAAAAAAAAUCACAUGGUGUUAGGCUGACCCACUACACACGAAUGGUGGGGAAAUAUUUUUUGAAAAAUUGUAACGACACAGCGCACUUCAAAUAUUUAUUUUUCAAAUUAAGCGUCGAUUUUCGUGCAAUUUUUCAUAAACUUUCAAAUUUAUUUUUGUGUUUAUUGAAAUUUUCUUUUUUAUUAUAUUUUGCUUUUCUCCACAAUAUUAUAAAUUAUUAGAAAUGCGCUGUGACGUCACAAAUUUUCGAAAAAUAUUUUCCGCUCUUUCAUGUGCAGUGGAACGAUGGGCUAACCUGACACCACGUGAAAAUAGCAUCUGAAAGCUUGUUUCAGGGCUGUUCAAAACUAUAAGUUAGUUUUGCCCAAGGUACAGGCAAAAAAAGUAUUUUAAGAGACGCAAAACAAAGUUGAACAUCUUGAUCAAACAUGAGGGUGCUUGAAGCUUGUUGCUUGAAAAUUUGGUUUUUGUGGUUGAUUUACACCCUUGAUCCACAUCAAAACAUGUUAGAUGUACAGAACGCGAAUUGCAUAAAACACGAAAUUGUUGUUUCUAUUUUUCUUUAAAGUUUUUAAGAUAAAAAUCGAAUGUUUUUGCAGAUGGAGACUUUCGAAGACAUCGAGGAAAAUGUAUGAAAAGAUUAAAAACGUCAAAAAAAGUAUAUAUAAAAUAGUCAUUGAUAAUCGUUUUGAAUAUAAUAUAAUUUAUCCUCGCUUCAAAACAAGAAUUUUACGUUUUGAAAAAAAGAGUGACUUUGUGUCUGUCUAUAAUGAGAUGGGUACAAACAAGGAAAUAACAGCUUCAGUUUAUCUCAAGUUCAGCGUUGAUUUUUGGAUCGAAUUGUUCUAGUAAGUUUUGUUUAUUUUGAUAAUUUUCGGAUUUCGUUUCAUAGUUUUAUUGCUUUACCGAAUGUUGUAAUGACAAAGAGCGGUUUUCACUACGUGACCUAGAAAAAUCCAGAACUCGACCAAAGAUUUAUCUGCAAGACUAAUUGUCGAUUGGUUUGCUGGAAUGCAAGACUAAUAGAGGAAGUACGGUAACUGUGAUAACUUUUUUCGAAAACGUUAGAAGGGUACAUAUAUUCAAAAAUGUACAACAAAACAUACUUUUUUUCAGCAAGUUAGACAAAAGAGGACCAGGAAAGCUUCGUAGUUCGGUGUACAAGUUAAAUCACUUAAAAAAACGUUUAAAAUACUUAAAUCGUUUUGAUGAACUGUUUUCGAUUAAACACGUGGAUUUGGUAAUUGAUAAAUAUAAACUUUUUGGAGACUCCAUAAGCCAUCCAUUGUUUCAAAAGUGUGACUAUAUGGAGAUAGUAGGAAAUACUUCAUAUAUCUCAAAUAAUGAAAUGAAUUUUGUAUUGAACAAUUUCAAACUGAAAAAUGGACUGCUUACUAAUUGUUUGAUUGCCGAAGAUUUCGAUGUGACAGCUGUAAGUUUAUAAACUAGUUUCAUAUAUGGUACGAAAAGUAGUGUGUAUUUUUUUUGGUGCAUUCUGCAAGUUUAAAAAAGGACUAACGGUUUAGACGAUUUUGAACGUAUAGUCUCAAAAUGGGCUCAAAUGAACGAAUUUCGUAAUGAAACGUCUCAAAAAUGUUUCAAAAAAUUUUAUAUAACGGUUCAAAAUUUCAAAAAAAAAAAAAAUUACACUGAUUUUAGCUGAAAUCUCGAUUUUUGGCCACUUUUAAAUGUCAAUUCUGUCCGAAGAUAACCUUUAACUUUUUUGGAAUUAUCUUCCCCUAUAAUUUCUAUUAUAAUUUCGUUGAUUAGGGUCAUUUUUCAACCGAUAGGUAACUAAAAGUAAUCGAAAUAGGUUAUCUUUCGGUUUCAAAUGUACUUUAAUCAACAAAAUUAAAUGAGAUAAACUACCAGAAAACGCAAUAAAAGACGAUAAUUCCAAAAACUCCACUACAAACAGAUGUGGCACGGAAAAGUGCCCGAAAUUUGAGAUUUCAGCAAAAAUCAGUAAAUGUUUUUUUCUUGAAACCGCCUUAAAAAAUUUUUGAAAAAUUUUUGAACCUUGUUAACGAAGUAUUCACUCUAGUCAAAAAACAAAAACAAGAUGUCUUCAGUUGAAAAUGUUUCUUGUAGAUGCAGCAGAUUCCUCGUUUGGUUAUUUUCAACGCACAACAUAUCACAGUAGAAGAUUUAAUAAAAAUGGAUUGUGAAACUAUCAAAUUGUGUUAUCAUCAAUUCAAACCACGACAUAUCAAUCAGUUACUUCAUCAUUGGUUGUCGGGAGAAAUGCCCAAGUUACGAAGAUUCCGUUUGAACUUCUAUUGUGAUACUACGUGGAUCGGUGUAGUUUUAUCUGGAAUAGAACAUUCGAAAUGGGAUGGGCAACGCCGAGCAAAGUUUUUUCGGUUAGUUGAUGACAAAACCCAUUAUUUUUAUUUAAAAAAAAUAUGAGGGACCAAAUUUCUCUUUAAUUGACUGGCUUCUGGCAUUUUCGAAUUUUUUUUCACUCAAAAAACUCCCGUGUAUUGGCGCAAAUACAUGAAGCACAUACACAGAGAGACUUUGCAAACAGAAAAAAUUCGACCAUAAACAAAAAAACCAGCUUCUAUUUGUUUUCAUCCUUCCUACUGAAACUUGAAAUUUUUGAAAAACUGUUGUAUUUGUUUCAUUUUGGUCCAAACAAACCAAAUUUUCAAAAAGUCAAUUUCGCAAAAAAAAAAAAGAAACAAAAACAAACAGGCAGUCCUAGUGCCAAAUGGUCUUGGGAUUACUAUAAUUGUAUUGUUGUGGUUCGGUAGAUAUGCUUUAGGAUUACUGUAUUUUAAGUAAAAGCUAAAAAUCCAAUUUAACCUAUAUAUUUUCAGCGAUGGAAUUGAGUCGAUUGACUGUGGAAAUGGAUUUGAUAUAGAACGCAACGAUGGACUUCUUGCAACGUUUUCUAGCUUAGAAGACUCGAUUGAUUUCGUUGUAUGGGGCAAUAUAUCUGCUCUGUAGUACAUUACAAAUAAUAUUUAAUAACGUUUAAGGGGAAGUAGCUAACUUUGUUUUAUUGCUUAAUCUAAACCUCAAAUUGUUUUGAAAGGCAAUUUUUUAAUUAUGAUACUUCAAAAAGAAAAUUUCUCGAAAAUUGUUUUAUGAUGGUUCAAUGUGCCAAAUUUAGCAAACAAUAAAAUUUUAAGUUGUUCGGUUCGGAGCCUUUAUUUUUUGUUUCUGUUGUUGUUUAUGACUACGCAAGCGAAGAUGAUGAAGUUGAAGUGGAGUACAGAAGAUGCGACGAGUUCCCAUAUAAAAUCGGUUUCUGGAUCGACGACACUACCGCCAUUUCCGCUGAAGCUGAGAGAGAUGAUGAUACUCGUUUUGCCGUUUGGAUUUCGGUUUACAGAGAACCUAUUCUAUACGGACUAUUCGAAAACUAUUUUGAGUAGUCAAUAUAAAUAUUGAUUUUUCACACACAGUUUACAAGCGGCCAAAGUUUUAGAAAAGUAGAUUGAUUAUUUUAUAAUAUAGGGAAUAAAGUUGGUGCUGUUAUAUGUUUUUGUUGAAUCUGUUCAUGGAACGUGUGCUCAGAAAAGCAAAAAAUUCAUAAAAUUGGAAUUAUUCCGCGGAGGGGACAGGUACACCUGGAUACACCUAGAAACAAGUUUUCAGAGUCUGAUUUUGCUUGAAAUGUAUACGCUUGCUUAGUCAAUUCAAGGAAAACGGUGGGACACCAAAUUAAUGGCUAAUUCAAGAAAAUCUACUUUUUUGCACUUUGGAAGGGACAUUAAAAAUAAAACCAAUUUCUGAAUGUAAAUUUAUUCACAACGUUAUGGGUUUCAAUUGAGUAUUUAGUUGUUCCGUAGAACAAUUCGAGAAAAUUGGCAAGUUGAAAAAUAUUUAUCCAAUUUGUGAAAAGAGCUCCAGUGUUUUUAAUAUUAUCUGAAAAUCUAGAUUAGAAAUAACUUACACAAUUAAAAAAUUAUGCAUUGUAAUUAUGAGGAAAUGUCUCUUAAAAUCCCGAAAAAAACUGAUCGAUCGGGCUGCAGAAGUUGAAUACCUCAACUCUCUUUAGUUAAUCAAAAGGCCACGUUCUCAGAAUGACAAUGAGUAUAUAAGAUAGCCAAUUCAUUUAAAAAAUCAUUUCAACCUUCCCAACCUUGCCGUCGGUCUUCCAUGCACCUGCUGCUGAUUGCUCUCGCCCUGCUUUCAACUGCCGGUGCGGAGUAUGUCCACUAUCCUUCAAACGGAUGCACUCGUCACAACGUGAUGAACGGGUUCCAGCUCAAAUUUGAAGGACCGCAAGGGAUCUUUAAGAACGAUCAUGGUGUUGUCUCAAUCAGCUUCUUCUGUAAUCCACCAGACGGAG